This 256-nucleotide ribosomal RNA is filed under the name uncultured bacterium. Its description in RNAcentral is "partial 16S ribosomal RNA". It matches the Rfam family "Bacterial small subunit ribosomal RNA", at positions 524 to 776 of the family's 1533-position model. The record is from RNAcentral.
UACGGGGGGGAGCAAGCGUUGUUCGGAUUUACUGGGCGUAAAGGGCGCGUAGGCGGCCACCGCAAGUCGACUGUGAAAUCUCCGGGCUUAACCCGGAAAGGUCAGCCGAUACUGCGGGGCUAGAGUGCAGAAGGGGCAACUGGAAUUCUCGGUGUAGCGGUGAAAUGCGUAGAUAUCGAGAGGAACACCUGCGGCGAAGGCGGGUUGCUGGGCUGACACUGACGCUGAGGCGCGAAAGCUAGGGGGAGCGAACGGG